Molecule: ribosomal RNA, 775 nt
Filed under: uncultured Neocallimastigales
Lineage: Eukaryota; Fungi; Neocallimastigomycota; Neocallimastigomycetes; Neocallimastigales
Description: partial large subunit ribosomal RNA
Rfam family: Eukaryotic large subunit ribosomal RNA
Source: RNAcentral
UACGACUACAUAUCAGGCAUAUCAAUAAGCGGAGGAAAAGAAACUAACAAGGAUUCCCUUAGUAACGGCGAGUGAAGCGGGAAGAGCUCAAAUUUGAAAUCUUCAAGGUUCUACCUUGACGAAUUGUAGUUUAAAGAAGUGUUUUCUGUUAGAUGAGUAGCAAAAGUUCCUUGGAAUGGGACAUCAUAGAGGGUGAGAAUCCCGUAUUUGGUUAUUCAUUCUAGCUUUGUGAUACACUUUCAAAGAGUCGGAUUGUUUGAGAAUGCAGGUCCAAAAUGGGUGGUAAAUUUCAUCUAAAGCUAAAUAUUGGCGAGAGACCGAUAGCGAACAAGUACCGUGAGGGAAAGAUGAAAAGAACUUUGAAAAGAGAGUUAAACAGUACGUGAAAUUGUCAAAAGGGAAGCGUUUGACACCAGUGUUGUUUUUCCGAAAAUCAAUUACGAAUGGCUUGAUUUUGUGUUGUAUUGACCUUAUCAGCUUUCUUCACUUUUUUCGAGUCUUUCUUAAUGCACUUUUCGGUUAACAAGUCAACAUCAAUUUCUUUUGUUGUAAAAGAGUAUUCGGAAGGUGGCUUUCUUUUCGGAGAAAGUGUUUAUAGCCCUAUACUUCUACAAUCGGAGAGAUUGAGGUCUGCAGCGUAGAUCCUUCGGGGUUAGAUACACUUGUGCUAAGUUGUAGCUUUUCAUAGACAACUUGUUGACUAUGUUUAGUCAUGCGGCUUACUCGCUUGUGCUAUUUUACCUACGCUUAGGAUGUUGAGUAGCGACAUACGCAC